This 379-nucleotide ribosomal RNA is filed under the name uncultured eukaryote. Its description in RNAcentral is "partial 18S ribosomal RNA". It matches the Rfam family "Eukaryotic small subunit ribosomal RNA", at positions 592 to 976 of the family's 1831-position model. The record is from RNAcentral.
CAAUAGCGUAUAUUUAAGUUGUUGCAGUUAAAAAGCUCGUAGUUGGAUUUCGGAUGGGACUUGCCGGUCCGUCGUUUCGAUGUGCACUGGCCAGUCCUAUCUUGUUGUCGGGGACUAGCUCCUGGGCUUCACUGUCCGGGACUAGGAGCUGACGAGGUUACUGUGAGUAAAUUAGAGUGUUCAAAGCAAGCCUACGCUCUGAAUACAUUAGCAUGGAAUAACACGAUAGGACUCUGGCUUAUCUUGUUGGUCUGUGAGACCAGAGUAAUGAUUAAGAGGGACAGUCGGGGGCAUUCGUAUUUCAUUGUCAGAGGUGAAAUUCUUGGAUUUAUGAAAGACGAACUUCUGCGAAAGCAUUUGUCAAGGAUGUUUUCAUUAA